Molecule: long non-coding RNA, 478 nt
Filed under: Homo sapiens (human)
Lineage: Eukaryota; Metazoa; Chordata; Mammalia; Primates; Hominidae
Description: non-protein coding lnc-C4BPA-2:1
Source: RNAcentral
UUCCUCCCAUUGGCCAUGGGUCCUAUGAAGAUGUGAGAUCAUUUUUUAUUCUCUACUACUCUGGUGCACUGUCACUGUGAUGAUGGAUAUGUUCUAAUUGGAGAGGCUGAAGUCACCUGCAGAAAUUCACAUUGGUCAGCUCCAGCCCCUCAAUGUAAAGCUCUGUGUCUGAAACCAGAGACAGAAAAUGGAAAGCUGUCUGGGUAAGGAUCUGUAUGUUGAACUUGAAAAUGUCACCAUCCAGUGUGACUCUGGCUAUAAAGUGGUUGGUCCUCAAAAUAUCACUUUGGUUGGUCCUCAAAAUAUCACUUGAUCAGAGCACAGAACAUGGCAGGCACCCAGAGGUGCCCAGUUGUGAGUGGGUUGUGAGCAAGUGCUCACGGGUAGAAAGCUCAUGCAGUGUCUCCCACACCCAGAGGAUUCGAAAAUGACCCUGGAGGUGUAAAAGCUGUCUCUGGAGAUUAAACGACUGGAACAC